RNAcentral lists this ribosomal RNA (1369 nucleotides) under uncultured bacterium. RNAcentral's name for it is "partial 16S ribosomal RNA". It matches the Rfam family "Bacterial small subunit ribosomal RNA". The record is from RNAcentral.
AGAGUUUGAUCCUGGCUCAGAUUGAACGCUGGCGGCGUGCUUAACACAUGCAAGUCGAUCGGUUACAGGUGUAGCAAUACAUGCUGACGAGAGGCGGACGGGUGAGGAAUAUUUGGGAAUCUGCCCAUCAGCGGGGGACAACCCGGGGAAACUCGGGCUAAUACCGCAUACGCUCUACGGAGGAAAGCCGGGGACCGCAAGGCCUGGCACUGAUGGAUGAGCCCAAAUCGGAUUAGCUAGUUGGCGGGGUAACGGCCCACCAAGGCGACGAUCCGUAGCUGGUCUGAGAGGACGAUCAGCCACACCGGAACUGAGACACGGGCCCGACUCCUACGGGAGGCAGCAGUAAGGAAUAUUGGGCAAUGGACGAAAGUCUGACCCAGCCAUGCCGCGUGAAGGAUGAAGGUCCUCUGGAUUGUAAACUUCUUUUAUAUGAGACGAAAAAAGAGUUUUCUAACUCAACUGACGGUACCAUAUGAAUAAGCACCGGCUAACUUCGUGCCAGCAGCCGCGGUAAUACGAAGGGUGCAAGCGUUACUCGGAAUUACUGGGCGUAAAGCGUGCGUAGGCGGUUUGUUAAGUCUGCUGUGAAAGCCCUGGGCUCAACCUGGGAACUGCAGUGGAUACUGGCGAGCUAGAGUGUGUCAGAGGAUGGUGGAAUUCCCGGUGUAGCGGUGAAAUGCGUAGAGAUCGGGAGGAACACCAGUGGCGAAGGCGGCCAUCUGGGACAGCACUGACGCUCAUGCACGAAAGCGUGGGGAGCAAACAGGAUUGGAUACCCUGGUAGUCCACGCCCCUAAACGAUGUCAACUGGUUGUUGGGUCUUCACUGACUCAGUAACGAAGCUAACGCGUGAAGUUGACCGCCUGGGGAGUACGGCCGCAAGGUUAAAACUCAAAGGAAUUGACGGGGACCCGCACAAGCGGUGGAUGAUGUGGUUUAAUUCGAAGCAACGCGCAGAACCUUACCAACCCUUGACAUGGCGAUCGCGGUUCCAGAGAUGGUUCCUUCAGUUCGGCUGGAUCGCACACAGGUGCUGCAUGGCUGUCGUCAGCUCGUGUCGUGAGAUGUUCGGUUAAGUCCGGCAACGAGCGCAACCCACACUCUUAGUUGCCAGCAUUCAGUUGGGCACUCUAAGAGAACUGCCGAUGAUAAGUCGGAGGAAGGUGUGGAUGACGUCAAGUCCUCAUGGCCCUUACGGGUUGGGCUACACACGUGCUACAAUGGUGGUGACAAUGGGUUAAUCCCUAAAAGCCAUCUCAGUUCGGAUUGGGGUCUGCAACUCGACCCCAUGAAGUCGGAAUCGCUAGUAAUCGCGUAACAGCAUGACGCGGUGAAUACGUUCCCGGGCCUUGUACACACCGCCCGU